This 980-nucleotide long non-coding RNA is filed under the name Chrysemys picta bellii (western painted turtle). RNAcentral's name for it is "lncRNA (ENSCPBG00000026284.1)". Lineage: Eukaryota; Metazoa; Chordata; Testudines; Emydidae. The record is from RNAcentral.
GAGAGUCGGAGUGCUGCUGGAGGGAGAGCCGCCGCUAGUAGUACCUGUGCCCAGAUGGAAAUUCAGAAUAUCUUGAGUUCUGUGUAGCUGACCAACUCAGAGAAUAUGCUGAAUGCAUUGUGUUGGAACACAAGGAUGGGCCCUGCAGUACUCACUGGCCACAAGCAAUUCCUUCCCAGCACUUUCUCCUGUGGUCAUAAUGAAAAAUGUACUGGUCAAACAGGUAGGGGGGGAAUAAUAAUAAUAUAUUGGAAAGUAUGUUUUCCUUUCAGAAGGGCACUUCGCAAAUAACUCUUUUAAAGGAUGACAUUCAUCUAACUUGUUGCUACACUCAUAGAAUCAUAGUAUCAGUAGAAGAUAUAUUAAAGUGAGUCUGUCCCUGGCCAGAGGCAGGCUAACAUCACCAAGAUAUAUCAAAUAUAAGUUUCUUAAGCCUCAUACAUCUUUGUUAAAUCUCUUUAUUUUAAAGGGAUCCUGGAAAGAUAAAAGACAUAUUUAGAAAAAAUACUAUUAGCACCUCAGAUUAUUUAAAUGAAAGAAUUUUAGAAAUCUAGCGUACUUUCUGCAUUGAUGCUUUGCUACGUUACUACUCCUAGGGGAAUUCUAUGCCAAAAAAUUUAAAAUGCUGUGCAAUAUAUUUUAAAAUUCUGCAAACUGCAUAUUUUAUUUGUCAAAAUAACACAAUAUAAAAAAAAUGCCAGUUUCAAUUAUUUUGGUAAUAUAUUUCAACAUACCUGUCAGCAAGUAUGUCUGUAACACUACAGACAACAGAUUCAGGAAAUGUUUUUUGACAAAUAGAUUCCUUAGUAGACAUAUUAAUACAGAACUUUGAGUAAUAAUUUAAACUACAAUACAGAACUGUAUUUCCCGCACCCCUCAGAAGCAGUGUAAAGGCUUGUGGGAGUUACGUCUAACGGAGGAGCUGAGGGAGAGAGAAGUAAUUGCUGGGAAGGAGCCUGGGUGUGCACGUGGAGGGUUGU